GAUGAACGCUAGCGGCAGGCCUAGUACAUGCAAGUCGAACGGGAUCCAGAUCAAAGCUUGCUUUGGUUUGGUGAGAGUGGCGCACGGGUGCGUAACGCGUGAGCAACCUACCCUUGUCAGGGGGAUAGCCCGGCGAAAGUCGGAUUAAUACCGCAUGACAUCAUUGAGAGGCAUCUUUCGAUGAUCAAAGAUUUAUCGGACAAGGAUGGGCUCGCGUGACAUUAGCUAGUUGGUAAGGUAACGGCUUACCAAGGCUACGAUGUCUAGGGGCUCUGAGAGGAGAAUCCCCCACACUGGUACUGAGACACGGACCAGACUCCUACGGGAGGCAGCAGUAAGGAAUAUUGGUCAAUGGACGGAAGUCUGAACCAGCCAUGCCGCGUGCAGGAAGACGGCCCUAUGGGUUGUAAACUGCUUUUAUACGGGAACAAACGUCGGUACGUGUACCGGUCUGAGUGUACCGUAAGAAUAAGGAUCGGCUAACUCCGUG
RNAcentral lists this ribosomal RNA (490 nucleotides) under uncultured bacterium. RNAcentral's name for it is "partial 16S ribosomal RNA". It matches the Rfam family "Bacterial small subunit ribosomal RNA", at positions 28 to 507 of the family's 1533-position model. The record is from RNAcentral.